Molecule: ribosomal RNA, 502 nt
Filed under: uncultured bacterium
Lineage: Bacteria
Description: partial 16S ribosomal RNA
Rfam family: Bacterial small subunit ribosomal RNA
Source: RNAcentral
GAUUAACGCUGGCGGCGUGCCUAACACAUGCAAGUCGAGCGGCCGCGAGUUUUACACUGAAUUCUGGAAGCUUCUAGUUGAAAGAGAAGAUUUAUUCAAGAAUUUUGUGUAAAAUGUCGGCGAGCGGCGGACGGCUGAGUAACGCGUGGGAACGUACCCCAAAGUGAGGGAUAACGCAUCGAAAGGUGUGCUAAUACCGCAUAUGGUCUUCGGAUUAAAGCCUUCGGGCGCUUUGGGAACGGCCUGCGUAAGAUUAGAUAGUUGGUGGGGUAAUGGCCUACCAAGUCGACGAUCUUUAACUGGUUUGAGAGGAUGAUCAGUCAGACUGGAACUGAGACACGGUCCAGACUCCUACGGGAGGCAGCAGUGAGGAAUCUUCCACAAUGGGCGAAAGCCUGAUGGAGCAACGCCGCGUGCAGGAUGAAGGCCUUCGGGUUGUAAACUGCUUUUAUAAGUGAGGAUUAUGACAGUAACUGAUGAAUAAGGAUCGGCUAACUACGUG